This 809-nucleotide ribosomal RNA is filed under the name uncultured Actinomycetes bacterium. Its description in RNAcentral is "bacterial SSU rRNA". It matches the Rfam family "Bacterial small subunit ribosomal RNA", at positions 71 to 857 of the family's 1533-position model. Lineage: Bacteria; Bacillati; Actinomycetota; Actinomycetes. The record is from RNAcentral.
AAGCUCCCUUCGGGGAGCAAGUAGAGUGGCGCACGGGUGAGUAACACGUAGGUAAUCUACCUUUGGAUGGGGAAUAACAACCGGAAACGGUUGCUAAUACCGCAUAAUGCAGCGGCACCUAAUGGUGACAGUUGUUAAAGCGGGGGAUCGCAAGACCUCGCGUCUGAAGAGGAGCCUGCGGCAGAUUAGCUAGUUGGUAAGGUAACGGCUUACCAAGGCGAUGAUCUGUAGCCGGCCUGAGAGGGCGGUCGGCCACACUGACGCUGACAUACGGGUCAGACUCCUACGGGAGGCAGCAGUCGGGAAUUUUGGGCAAUGGGCGAAAGCCUGACCCAGCAACGCCGCGUGAAGGAUGAAAUCCCUCGAGAUGUAAACUUCGCAAGAACGGGAAGAAUAAGUAAGAGUUAAUAUCUCUUACGAUGACGGUACUGUUUGUAAGCUCCGGCUAACUCCGUGCCAGCAGCCGCGGUAAUACGGGGGGAGCAAGCGUUGUUCGGAUUUACUGGGCGUAAAGGGCGCGUAGGCGGCCUCUGCAAGUCGACUGUGAAAUCUCCGGGCUUAACCCGGAAAGGUCAGCCGAUACUGCAGGGCUAGAGUGCAGAAGGGGCAACUGGAAUUCUCGGUGUAGCGGUGAAAUGCGUAGAUAUCGAGAGGAACACCUGCGGCGAAGGCGGGUUGCUGGGCUGACACUGACGCUGAGGCGCGAAAGCUAGGGGAGCGAACGGGAUUAGAUACCCCGGUAGUCCUAGCCUUAAACGAUGAAUGCUUGGUGUCUGGGGUUUUAUAGUCCCCGGGUGCCGUCGCUAACG